UACGUAGGAGGCAAGCGUUGUCCGGAAUUACUGGGCGUAAAGCGCGUGUAGGUGGUGGGACAAGUCUGCUGUGAAAGCGCCUGGCUUAACCGGGCGAGGUCGGCGGAAACUGUCGCACUCGAGGACGGUAGAGGGGGGUGGAAUUCCCGGUGUAGUGGUGAAAUGCGUAGAGAUCGGGAGGAACACCUGUGGCGAAGGCGGCCCCCUGGCCGGCCCUGACACUGAGACGCGAAGGCGUGGGGAGCGAACGGG
Molecule: ribosomal RNA, 252 nt
Filed under: uncultured bacterium
Lineage: Bacteria
Description: partial 16S ribosomal RNA
Rfam family: Bacterial small subunit ribosomal RNA
Source: RNAcentral